Long non-coding RNA from Lucilia cuprina (Australian sheep blowfly), 482 nucleotides. RefSeq lists it as uncharacterized. The record is from RefSeq and is a predicted model, not a curated record. The transcript is spliced from 4 exons. Lineage: Eukaryota; Metazoa; Arthropoda; Insecta; Diptera; Calliphoridae.
AAUGCUUUGUUGUUGUAGUUUUUUGUUUCUUUUAAACGCCUUUUACGCAUAGGUUUAAGAGUGUGUGUUGUUAUUGUUGUUGUUGUGAGUUAAAGCUUUUGCAUCACUUAAAAAGUAAGAGAAAUAUUCUCGAGCAAAAGCAGAGCAUGAAAAAUUUGAAGUUUUUGUAUUUGUUUACAAAAACAAAUUAAAAAAGUUUUUUGUUUUUAAUAAAAGAAAUGCAUAAUAAGUAUAGAGUUGCCAUUUCUGCAAAUAGUGUUAAUAAAACGGCUAACGGUUCGGUUUCGGUUUGUGUAAUUAAAUAAAUAUGUUAUAUACUUUUGAAGGAGUAAAGGAGGGGUUGUUAAUUAGAGUCUGUUGACAGCAGACGCUUAUACUGGAUCAGUGCAAUGAAUGUCAGCAAUGACAAACAUUUGAUUUGGUUUAAAAUCGUCCACCAUAAUUCAUACACUCACUUAUCGGUUCAUUCAGCUUAAAAUAAG